CAGCAGCCGCGGGAAUACGAAGGGUGCAAGCGUUACUCGGAAUUACUGGGCGUAAAGCGUGCGUAGGUGGUGGUUUAAGUCCGUUGUGAGAGCCCUGGGCUCAACCUGGGAAUUGCAGUGGAUACUGGGUCACUAGAGUGUGGUAGAGGAUAGUGGAAUUUCCGGUGUAGCAGUGAAAUGCGUAGAGAUCGGAAGGAACAUCUGUGGCGAAGGCGACUAUCUGGGCCAACACUGACACUGAGGCACGAAAGCGUGGGGAGCAAACAGGAUUAGAUACCCGUGUAGUCCCUGUCUCUUAUAC
Molecule: ribosomal RNA, 301 nt
Filed under: uncultured bacterium
Lineage: Bacteria
Description: partial 16S ribosomal RNA
Rfam family: Bacterial small subunit ribosomal RNA
Source: RNAcentral